This 466-nucleotide ribosomal RNA is filed under the name uncultured bacterium. RNAcentral describes it as "partial 16S ribosomal RNA". It matches the Rfam family "Bacterial small subunit ribosomal RNA", at positions 28 to 507 of the family's 1533-position model. The record is from RNAcentral.
GAUGAACGCUGGCGGCGUGCUUAACACAUGCAAGUCGAACGGAAAGGCUCCUGCUUGCAGGGGUACUCGAGUGGCGAACGGGUGAGUAACACGUGGGUGAUCUGCCCUGCACUUCGGGAUAAGCCUGGGAAACUGGGUCUAAUACCGGAUAGGACCACAUUUUGGAUGGUGUGGUGGAAAGUUUUUCGGUGUGGGAUGAGCUCGCGGCCUAUCAGCUUGUUGGUGGGGUAAUGGCCUACCAAGGCGUCGACGGGUAGCCGGCCUGAGAGGGUGUACGGCCAAAGGUGGGCAGAGAUGAGGACCGGACUCGUACGGGAGGCAGCAGGGGGGAAUAGGGAACAAUGGGCGGAAGGCUGAGGCAGCGCUGCCCCGGGGGGGAGGACGGCCUGCGGGUAGUAAAAGACGGUCGCCAGGGAAGAAACUGGGUGGGACGGGACCUAGAUAAGAAGCACCGGCUAGCUAGGUG